CCAGACUCCUACGGGAGGCAGCAGUGAGGAAUAUUGGUCAAUGGGCGGGAGCCUGAACCAGCCAAGUCGCGUGAGGGAAGACGGUCCUAUGGAUUGUAAACCUCUUUAGGCGGGGAGCAAUGCCGGGCACGCGUGCCCGGAGGGAGAGUACCCGCAGAAUAAGCAUCGGCUAACUACGUGCCAGCAGCCGCGGUAAUACGUAGGUGGCGAGCGUUAUCCGGAAUGAUUGGGCGUAAAGGGUGCGCAGGCGGUCCUGCAAGUCUGGAGUGAAACGCAGGAGCUCAACUCAUGCAUGGCUUUGGAAACUGGAGGACUGGAGGGCAGGAGAGGGCGGUGGAACUCCAUGUGUAGCGGUAAAAUGCGUAGAUAUAUGGAAGAACACCAGUGGCGAAGGCGGCCGCCUGGCCUGUUGCUGACGCUGAGGCACGAAAGCGUGGGGAGCAAAUAGGAUUAGAUACCCCUGUA
Molecule: ribosomal RNA, 465 nt
Filed under: uncultured bacterium
Lineage: Bacteria
Description: bacterial SSU rRNA
Rfam family: Bacterial small subunit ribosomal RNA
Source: RNAcentral